RNAcentral lists this long non-coding RNA (1444 nucleotides) under Homo sapiens (human). RNAcentral describes it as "HSALNT0361731". Lineage: Eukaryota; Metazoa; Chordata; Mammalia; Primates; Hominidae. The record is from RNAcentral.
CCCGGCUAAUUUUUUGUAUUUUUAGUAGAGACGGGGUUUCACCGUUUUAGCCGGGAUGGUCUCGAUCUCCUGACCUCGUGAUCCGCCCGCCUCGGCCUCAGAAACAUUUUCAAUCAGGCUCAAAGAAUGCAGGAACUGUGGGGCCAGGUUUCAUAUAAAAUGCGUUUUAGAGUUCACUUGGUGAGAUAUUCCCCUCAAAGAGCACAGGGACUUGAUUCCCCAGCACUCUCCUGCCUCUGGAUCUUUGCUCAAGCUGUUGUCUCUGUCUGGAGUGCCCUUCACCUCCAUGUCUGCUUGUUGAAGAUUUGCUGCCUCUAGGACACCUCUUCCAAGAAGCUUUCUGGAACCUUCUCCAAGUCGGAAUUAUGGUUUUUCUCAGGCAUUGCACAUGGCUUGUGCCAUUCACUGCUGACUGCUUUGCAUUAGGGUUCUUUUGGUCUUAGAGCCCUGUAGCUGAUUUAUUAAAGGUGUGGGCUGCCUAGGAUGGUGGUUUCCUGCCAUGGCUUCACAUUAGAACCACCUGGGGAGCCUUGACUCACCUGGCCAAGUGGAAACCAGCAUCAGUAUAUUUCGAGAGCUCCUCAGGUGGUUCUAAUGUGCAACCAGGAAUAAGAGCCUUGCACUGAGACCUCCUCCCAUCUCAUGCAUGGAAUUUUUCUUGCAUCUGUUCUUCCAGCUCACAGGCCCCUUCCCCUCACGACAUGGAAAGAGAGAUGAGUUUCCACUAAGACAAGACCUUAGCUCUGACUUGAUGUCUUAAGCAGGAGAUGUAAAACCUAACUCACAGUGUCCGCGGGGUCCUGAAUUUCUGUUCCACCCCUUUCAGCCAACUGGCAGCUUGGACUGGAGUUAGCGACAGAUGUCUUCUGAGCAGGACUUACAGGUACAAGACAAGAGGAGGAAGCCUGCUGCAAAGGAUGCAAAAGGCCCAUGCCUCCAACCUCAGUCUGGCUGUCAUUGCUAACGUCACUAAGCCAUGGUUGCCAGGCAAUUGCUGGGGGAAAAAAGCACUUUCAAAGCCAACUAAGCACCUACUGUGUGACACUGUGUGACAAACUCUCAACAGCAUCCAGUCCUGGCCCUGUAGGUCCUCCCGGAAUAAAAAUUUUCUCAAACCUAUAUAUGUGGCUCUAAUGAGAUGUGUUAAAAUAGAGCAGUGCUUUUCAACUUUUGUAUGAAAGCUGCAGGAUUUGUUAAAACAUAGACUGCUGGCCCCACCCUCAGUAAUUCUAAUAUUGAAGUAACUCUGGGUUGGGAUUCAAGAAUUUGCAUUUCUGACAAGUUCUACUUGCAGCAAAUCCUGUUGGUCCAGAGACUACAUUUUGAGAACCACUGAAAUAGGGGCAUGUUCUUGACAUGAAUGGGGAAGCAGUGUGAUUAAAUUUGACUCUAGGAGAGUGGUCAUAGAGGUGGUGACAUUUGAACUGGGCCUAGAAGGAUGAGA